This 254-nucleotide ribosomal RNA is filed under the name uncultured bacterium. Its description in RNAcentral is "partial 16S ribosomal RNA". It matches the Rfam family "Bacterial small subunit ribosomal RNA", at positions 524 to 776 of the family's 1533-position model. The record is from RNAcentral.
UACGGGGGGAGCAAGCGUUGUUCGGAUUUACUGGGCGUAAAGGGCGCGUAGGCGGUCAGCACAAGUCAGUUGUGAAAUCUCCGGGCUUAACUCGGAAAGGUCAACUGAUACCGUGCGACUAGAGUGCGGAAGGGGCAACUGGAAUUCUUGGUGUAGCGGUGAAAUGCGUAGAUAUCAAGAGGAACACCUGCGGCGAAGGCGGGUUGCUGGGCCGACACUGACGCUGAGGCGCGAAAGCCAGGGGAGCGAACGGG